RNAcentral lists this ribosomal RNA (486 nucleotides) under uncultured bacterium. Its description in RNAcentral is "partial 16S ribosomal RNA". It matches the Rfam family "Bacterial small subunit ribosomal RNA", at positions 30 to 507 of the family's 1533-position model. The record is from RNAcentral.
AUUGAACGCUGGCGGCAUGCCUUACACAUGCAAGUCGAACGGCAGCACGGGUGCUUGCCCCUGGUGGCGAGUGGCGAACGGGUGAGUAAUACAUCGGAACAUGUCCUGUAGUGGGGGAUAGCCCGGCGAAAGCCGGAUUAAUACCGCAUACGAUCUACGGAUGAAAGCGGGGGACCUUCGGGCCUCGCGCUAUAGGGUUGGCCGAUGGCUGAUUAGCUAGUUGGUGGGGUAAAGGCCUACCAAGGCGACGAUCAGUAGCUGGUCUGAGAGGACGACCGGCCACACUGGGACUGAGACACGGCCCAGACUCCUACGGGAGGCAGCAGUGGGGAAUUUUGGACAAUGGGCGAAAGCCUGAUCCAGCAAUGCCGCGUGUGUGAAGAAGGCCUUCGGGUUGUAAAGCACUUUUGUCCGGAAAGAAAUCCUUGGCCCUAAUACGGUCGGGGGAUGACGGUACCGGAAGAAUAAGCACCGGCUAACUACGUG